GGCUAUCUAGCUCAGCCGGGUAGAGCAGCAGGCCAUGCCUGCGGGUCACGGGUUCGAGUCCCGUGAUAGCACC
Molecule: transfer RNA, 73 nt
Filed under: Isoalcanivorax pacificus W11-5
Lineage: Bacteria; Pseudomonadati; Pseudomonadota; Gammaproteobacteria; Oceanospirillales; Alcanivoracaceae
Also listed under: 1 other name
Description: tRNA-Met (CAT) (tRNA-Met-CAT-2-1)
Rfam family: tRNA
About the family: Transfer RNA (tRNA) molecules are approximately 80 nucleotides in length. Their secondary structure includes four short double-helical elements and three loops (D, anti-codon, and T loops).
Source: RNAcentral